CUGAGUGAGGGAGAGAGGCCAUUCAUCUUCUCUCUUGUCAGCAGUGAAAAGCUGUCAGAGCCCACCGCUGAGGAAGUUAUCACAGUCAGGUUUCUUAUCUUUCUGUAUGGAGGGGAUCUCUAAGUAGUUGUGGCUAUGAGUGUGCUCCGCUGACCGCUGCCUGCCAGAGCUGCCACUGACACAAGGAGAGUGAGAGAGCCUGCAGCAAGAACAGAUUUGGAGGUCCAUACAGUCACAAGGAUACCCAAUAUAUAUAUACGAAAAAUGAUCUCCACAAUCAACUAUGACCAAAGCUGAUGGAGUGAUAGAGUCAGCACUUUAGUAUUUCUCCUUUCCACCGUCUAAGACAGUUCUGUGCAGAAUCCUUUGAAUCUUGGACUGUACAAAUGGGUAUUGAUAUUUUCAUUAUACCAGUCUGCAUUUUUUAAGCCUCAAUACAAUUCCAUCAUUAUGUUAAAGGGGUACUCCACUGGAAAACGUCUUGUUUUUAAAUCAACU
Molecule: long non-coding RNA, 498 nt
Organism: Hyla sarda
Lineage: Eukaryota; Metazoa; Chordata; Amphibia; Anura; Hylidae
Exons: 4
Source: RefSeq, a predicted model, not a curated record